AGGGAUAUAGCUCAGUGGUAGAGCACUUGCCUAGCAUGUGUGAGCCUCUGGGUUCAAUCAUCAGUCUCCCUU
Ictidomys tridecemlineatus (thirteen-lined ground squirrel) is the source of this 72-nucleotide non-coding RNA. The record is from Rfam. NCBI's taxonomy places the organism in Eukaryota, Metazoa, Chordata, Mammalia, Rodentia, Sciuridae.